Small nuclear RNA from Papio anubis (olive baboon), 62 nucleotides. Its record names the gene U7. It matches the Rfam family "U7 small nuclear RNA". Rfam says of the family: Animal histone pre-mRNAs are spliced by a different mechanism than nuclear pre-mRNAs and self-splicing introns. This processing involves the U7 snRNP, which contains only one RNA species: U7. The record is from Ensembl. NCBI's taxonomy places the organism in Eukaryota, Metazoa, Chordata, Mammalia, Primates, Cercopithecidae.
CAGCGUUACAGCUCUUUUAGGAUUUGUACAGCAGGUUUUCUGGUUUCUACCAGAAAACCCCA